Molecule: ribosomal RNA, 497 nt
Filed under: uncultured bacterium
Lineage: Bacteria
Description: partial 16S ribosomal RNA
Rfam family: Bacterial small subunit ribosomal RNA
Source: RNAcentral
GACGAACGCUGGCGGCGUGCCUAAUACAUGCAAGUUGAGCGCUGAAGGUUGGUACUUGUACCAACUGGAUGAGCAGCGAACGGGUGAGUAACGCGUGGGGAACCUGCCUUUGAGCGGGGGACAACAUUUGGAAACGAAUGCUAAUACCGCAUAAAAACUUUAAACACAAGUUUUAAGUUUGAAAGAUGCAAUUGCAUCACUCAAAGAUGAUCCCGCGUUGUAUUAGCUAGUUGGUGAGGUAAAGGCUCACCAAGGCGAUGAUACAUAGCCGACCUGAGAGGGUGAUCGGCCACAUUGGGACUGAGACACGGCCCAAACUCCUACGGGAGGCAGCAGUAGGGAAUCUUCGGCAAUAGACGAAAGUCUGACCGAGCAACGCCGCGUGAGUGAAGAAGGUUUUCGGAUCGUAAAACUCUGUUGGUAGAGAAGAACGUUGGUGAGAGUGGAAAGCUCAUCAAGUGACGGUAACUACCCAGAAAGGGACGGCUAACUACGUG